Molecule: long non-coding RNA, 592 nt
Organism: Chelonus insularis
Lineage: Eukaryota; Metazoa; Arthropoda; Insecta; Hymenoptera; Braconidae
Exons: 4
Source: RefSeq, a predicted model, not a curated record
UUUAGGUCUGUCAGUAGCAAAGCGGCGGCCUCAUCAUACGGAGCUGCUGGCUGACCAGCUAAGCCGAAAUCACUUAAGACGCGUUCCUUGUAAUAUAACCACCGCUACACGCGCCUUCCCCCCACUCUCCGCCACCCCGAUCCCCUCAUCUUUACAUACAGACGCACACCCGAACGUCGCGCGGAAACACAUACGAGUAUACUAGUGGCAACUAUGUCAAUACAACCAUAACAGACACCGGCCAGUGUACUCUUGGACUCUCGAGUGCACGUGUGUUGUAUAUUUGUGUGAAAUGGAUAACCAUCUAAUCCAUUUAUAGUUACAACUAUUAAGUUACAUCAUUAUUAAUUAACAAGUGACACAAGCGAGUUGACUCCGCCAAAUUACAACCUACCUUCGAGUGUAUUGGAGGAUUUAUUUAUACACCACGUACUUGAGAAGAAGGUUGACGCAUGAUGCCCUAACGAAACAUCGGCUGGUGUGCGGGUGCCAGGACAAAAGAGACGACAGCAUCUUUCACAUCACCUCCAUCGAAUCAAUCAGCGAUAGAAUUGAAGUCACGAAUAUCGAAACGAGGGAGCGAGGGGCAGCU